Long non-coding RNA from Musa acuminata AAA Group (dessert banana), 1898 nucleotides. RefSeq lists it as uncharacterized. The transcript is spliced from 2 exons. NCBI's taxonomy places the organism in Eukaryota, Viridiplantae, Streptophyta, Magnoliopsida, Zingiberales, Musaceae. The record is from RefSeq and is a predicted model, not a curated record.
GACUAAACUGUUAAGUUGUAAAAAGAAGUAAAUAAAGAAAAACCGAAAAUUUCGGUUUUAUCCCACCGCCUCCCACGCACUCUCUGUUUCUUCGAGAAACAGAGAGGAGCGGUGGGGCAUGAGGAGUGAAGAAAAGAAGAAGAAGAGGGAAAAGAAGAGAGGAGAAAGAAGAGAGGAAGAAGAGGGAGAAGAGAAGAAGAAGAAGAAGAGGAGGUGGCUGCAGUGAGGGCUGCAGCGAGGAGCUGUGGGGCGUGGGGAGAAGAAGAGAGGAAGAAGAGGGAGAAGAGAAGAAGAAGAAGAAGAAGAAGAAGAAGAAGAGAGGAGGAUAGCUGCGGCAAGGCUGCAGCGAGGAGGUGUGUGGCUUUGGGUAGGAAAAGGGAAGAGGAGAAGAAGAGAAGGAGAAGAAGAGGGAAAAGAGAGGCAGCUGCAGCAGCCAGGGCUGCAGCACCUCUGUUUCCCGCAGGUGGAAACAGAGGAGAGGAUGUGUGGGGCGUUGAGGAUGAAAAGGGAAGAAGAAGAAGAAGAAGAAGAAGAAGAAGAAGAAGAUAGCUGCGGCAAGGCUGCAGCGAGGAGAUGUGUGGCCUUGGGGAGGAAAAGGGAAGAGGGGAAGAGGAGAAGAAGAAGAAGAGGAAGAGAAAGAGGUGUGAUACCUCUGUUUCCUAUAGAGGAAACAGAGGAGAGGGUGUGUGUGAUGCCGGGGAAGAAGGGGCUGCAGCUGCGGCGAUGGCAGCUGCAGCUGGAAGAGAAGAAGAAGAGGAAGAUGAGCAGGGGAGGAGGGAGAGAUUGCGGCCGUGGCUGCGGCCGCGACUGCAGCAGUUGCAGCGGGGAGAGAAGAAGAAGAAAGGAAGGAGAAGGAAGAGGAGAAAGGAAAGAAGUAGCUGCGGCUGCGGUUGUGGCAGCUGCAGCUAUGGCAGGGAAAGAGGAAGAGAAAAAGGAAAGGAAGAAGAAGAGAAAGGGAAGGAGAGGAAGAAGAGAGGAAGAGGAGAAGGGGCUGCGGCUGCGGCGAUGGCAGCUGCAGCUGUGGCUGGGAAAACAGAGAAGGAAAGGAAGAAGAAGAGAAAGGGAAGGAGAGGAAGAAGAGAGGAAGAGGAGAAGGGGUGGCAGCUGCGGCAGUGGCAGCUGCAGUUGGAAGAGAAGUAGGAGAGGAAAUAGAGUAGCAGAGGAAGAAGAGGCUGCGGUUGUGGUGGCUGCGGCCAUGGCUGCGACUGCGACUGCGGCAGUUGCAGCUGGGAAAGAAAGGAAAGGAAAGGGGGGAAAAAGGGGCUGCGGACGGGAUUGCAGCCGCAGCGGCAGCGACUGCGUAUGCAGCAGUUAAGUCUGCGAGAGAAGGGAGGAAGGAAGGUAGUGCGGUGGAAGGGGCUGCGAUUGUAGCAGCGGCAACGGCGGCGGCUGUGGCAGCUGCGUUUGGGAAAGAAAAAGAAGGAAUGAGAGUAAGAGAGAGCAGGUGACUGUGCCUCGAUGUUCGACACGUGGUGUAGUUGCGAAGAAAGGAAGAAAACGGGAGCACAAAACGAAACAGAGAGAGGACACGGAGGAAAAGUAGAAGGAUUUGGGCUGGCACCUUCUUUGGAUCUUCGGAUCGAAAUCUUUGAAAGGUCAGCUUGUCACUCUUCGAGAUGUUUGAUUUGGGCUGAGGCAGUGGAUAGCUAUUCAGAAUAAUGGGCAAGUCUGGUUGGUUAUUACGAUAUUGUUGUAUAAGUAUGUCUUGUAUAUAAUGAAAUGUUGUCGAUGAACCGAAAUAGAUAUACUGUGUCCAAGUGUUAGGAGAUCUCUCUUAUUUGGAAUUUCAGAAUGUUAAGUCUAAUUUAUGGUGAUAUGAACUUGUGGUGAAUAGUUGGAGUUCUGAUUGUAUAAUUUAUUUAGCUUGUGGAUUUAUAAAUGUUGUUCAUGUUUGUCAA